This 918-nucleotide long non-coding RNA is filed under the name Homo sapiens (human). RNAcentral's name for it is "non-protein coding lnc-ISL1-4:1". Lineage: Eukaryota; Metazoa; Chordata; Mammalia; Primates; Hominidae. The record is from RNAcentral.
AUGGCAUCUGAAACCCACAAUGUUAAAAAGCAGAACUUUUGAAAUAAUAUUCAGGAUCAUUUAAUUGAUGGACCUAGGAAAAGGAUUUCUAAUUUCAUUAAUAAGAACAAGAAGGAAGUUAAGAAACCUCAACAGUUAGCUGCUUAUAUAAAUAGAACAGUUGGACGAACUGUCAAAAGUCCAGAUAAAACUAGGGUAAGGUAAUCUUUCAUAGAAAGUUAGUUCAUUAUCCCUUUCCAAACCUCUGUUAUAGGAAAAACAAAACAAACAAAAAAACACAGUCCCCUAGAAGUGGGGCUGUGACGUGGCAAAUAAAGAAAAUGAACUGGUUUGUGCAGGCCACCUGCCUGAAAAAUUAUGCCAGAGUAGGCAAAUAUAUUUGCUUAACCCCAGUGAUUCCAAUUUUUCACAGAUAUAAAGCCCAUCAUCACAAUACAGUCAGUAUUUUUCGCAAGUUUCUCAGGAUCAUGAAACAAAUGGCCCAAGUUUUGCUCAGCAGGAAUUUGAAACUGAAUGUAUCUUUAACUUUCUGGAGAAAGAAGUAUACGUGAAUUUGCAGCUUGUUUGGUGAGAAUAGAAGAUCUUGGCAUUGAGGUAGAUUGCCUUCCUGUGCUCACCAGUAGUUUACAGGGAGAAAAACAAUAUAUCUUACUUGAACGCUGGGUAGGCUCGUUGCCUCUAGUAAACUCACUAUGUAAAAGCAAAUUUGAAAAAUACCUAACAGUUGGUUUAAACUGGCUUCAAGCAGUCAUUAAAAGGUGGUGGUCAGAACUAUUGUCCAAAACAGAAAUUAUAAAUAAUGGAAACAUUCAGAUUUUAAAACAACAGUUAAAUGGAUUGUUAGAACAGGAAAACCACCUUACUUUGGUUCCAGGAUAUACUGGUAAUAUAGCUAAGGAAGUAGAUGCUUAUUUAUUA